RNAcentral lists this ribosomal RNA (301 nucleotides) under uncultured bacterium. Its description in RNAcentral is "partial 16S ribosomal RNA". It matches the Rfam family "Bacterial small subunit ribosomal RNA", at positions 509 to 809 of the family's 1533-position model. The record is from RNAcentral.
CAGUAGCCACGGGAAUACGUAGGGCGCAAGCGUUGUCCGGAAUUAUUGGGCGUAAAGAGCUCGUAGGCGGUCUGUCGCGUCUGGUGUGAAAUCCCGAGGCUCAACCUCGGGCUUGCAUCGGGUACGGGCAGACUAGAGUGCGGUAGGGGAGACUGGAAUUCCUGGUGUAGCGGUGGAAUGCGCAGAUAUCAGGAGGAACACCGAUGGCGAAGGCAGGUCUCUGGGCCGCAACUGACGCUGAGGAGCGAAAGCAUGGGGAGCGAACAGGAUUAGAUACCCCUGUAGUCCCUGUCUCUUAUUC